GCUUCCUUGGCUCAGUUGGUAGAGCGUUGGUCUCAUAUGUGUAUGAGCAAUUUAUUGAAGUUGCGCAAUCCAAAGGUCGCCAGUUCGAGCCUGGCAGGGAGCA
RNAcentral lists this transfer RNA (103 nucleotides) under Rhizoctonia solani AG-1 IB. It matches the Rfam family "tRNA". From Rfam's summary of the family: Transfer RNA (tRNA) molecules are approximately 80 nucleotides in length. Their secondary structure includes four short double-helical elements and three loops (D, anti-codon, and T loops). Further hydrogen bonds mediate the characteristic L-shaped molecular structure. tRNAs have two regions of fundamental functional importance: the anti-codon, which is responsible for specific mRNA codon recognition, and the 3' end, to which the tRNAs corresponding amino acid is attached (by aminoacyl-tRNA synthetases). tRNAs cope with the degeneracy of the genetic code in two manners: having more than one tRNA (with a specific anti-codon) for a particular amino acid; and 'wobble' base-pairing, i.e. permitting non-standard base-pairing at the 3rd anti-codon position. Lineage: Eukaryota; Fungi; Basidiomycota; Agaricomycetes; Cantharellales; Ceratobasidiaceae. The record is from Rfam by way of RNAcentral.